RNAcentral lists this transfer RNA (75 nucleotides) under bacterium. Its description in RNAcentral is "tRNA-Val". It matches the Rfam family "tRNA". From Rfam's summary of the family: Transfer RNA (tRNA) molecules are approximately 80 nucleotides in length. Their secondary structure includes four short double-helical elements and three loops (D, anti-codon, and T loops). The record is from RNAcentral.
GGGCGCAUAGCUCAGUGGGAGAGCACUCGCUUCACACGCGAGGGGUCGGUGGUUCGAACCCACCUGUGCCCACCA